GACGAACGCUGGCGGCGUGCCUAACACAUGCAAGUCGAACGAGGCCACUCCUUCGGGAGUGAGUCGAGUGGCGGACGGGUGAGUAACACGUGAGCAACCUGUCCCUGUGCGGGGGACAACCCGGGGAAACCCGGGCUAAUACCGCAUGGGCGGAGCCUUCGAGUGGAGGCUCCGGGAAAGAUGGCCUCUUUACAAUGCUAUCGCGCAGGGAGGGGCUCGCGGGCUAUCAGCUUGAUGGUGAGGUAAUGGCUCACCAUGGCAGCGACGGCUACGGGGUCUGAGAGGACGACCCCGCACAUUGGAACUGAGACACGGUCCAGACUCCUACGGGAGGCAG
RNAcentral lists this ribosomal RNA (337 nucleotides) under uncultured Gemmatimonadota bacterium. Its description in RNAcentral is "bacterial SSU rRNA". It matches the Rfam family "Bacterial small subunit ribosomal RNA", at positions 28 to 351 of the family's 1533-position model. Lineage: Bacteria; Pseudomonadati; Gemmatimonadota. The record is from RNAcentral.